This 497-nucleotide ribosomal RNA is filed under the name uncultured bacterium. RNAcentral's name for it is "partial 16S ribosomal RNA". It matches the Rfam family "Bacterial small subunit ribosomal RNA", at positions 28 to 507 of the family's 1533-position model. The record is from RNAcentral.
GAUGAACGCUGGCGGCGUGCCUAAUACAUGCAAGUCGAGCGAACAGACGAGGAGCUUGCUCCUUCGACGUUAGCGGCGGACGGGUGAGUAACACGUAGGUAACCUACCUAUAAGACUGGGAUAACUUCGGGAAACCGGAGCUAAUACCGGAUAAUAUUUCGAACCGCAUGGUUCGAUAGUGAAUGAUGGCUUUGCUAUCACUUAUAGAUGGGCCUGCGCCGUAUUAGCUAGUUGGUAAGGUAACGGCUUACCAAGGCAACGAUACGUAGCCGACCUGAGAGGGUGAUCGGCCACACUGGAACUGAGACACGGUCCAGACUCCUACGGGAGGCAGCAGUAGGGAAUCUUCCGCAAUGGGCGAAAGCCUGACGGAGCAACGCCGCGUGAGUGAUGAAGGUCUUCGGAUCGUAAAACUCUGUUAUUAGGGAAGAACAAACGUGUAAGUAACUGUGCACGUCUUGACGGUACCUAAUCAGGAAGCCACGGCUAACUACGUG